AUGAAAUAGCUUCUAGGAGGAUAAAGGCUUUCCAGAGAAGUUAUGUUCUCUGUACUGGAGUUUGUCUAUGAAAAAAUUAAAUGGUCACAACACAGAAUAGUUUCCAUGUGGCCUAAUAACUGGCCAAGAAAGUGGGAAGCGGAGGAUGACGGAUGGAUUUUGAUGCAGAAGAGAGGUCACCAGGAGAGUUCCACUGGAUCAUCCACGCGAUUUGAAAAUAUACAUAAGAAAAUGGAAAUGGGGAUGAACAAUGCGGUGACAAUGUUUAGUGAUAACGUGAAGUUCUUCCACGCAGCAGUGGUGAAGAUCAGCUGUGAAGAACUGCAGAAUUGAUUUGAAGUGUUCUGCAGAUGAGAGCUGCUCUCAUUUGAGCAGUUCUAAUGGUGUGUCUGGAAGGGAAGGAAAGCAUCCUCAGCGCUAUUUCUCUCUGUUUGCCGUCUGCUUCCCGGAGAUGGAUGUUCUAACCACCGUACAGAGCAGGAGCAUCAAUAUCCUUUUCCAGCAUUGAAGCCGCACUCACUGGGUAGUGGAAUCUGUCAUCUCAUUCAUAUAAACUGCUAUCUGUCUGCAUCGGAAAAUGACCCAGAACUUUCUACCCAGAGUGACUGGAUUCAAUAAUGUUUUUUAUUUAGAGAUUUGCAGUGUAUAUGCCAGGUAAUACAAAUCUUUCCAUAUAGUUCUAUGUAUAAAUUGCCCCUUCUCUCUGCUAAACACAAGAACUAGGUUCUUGUUUGAUUUAUGCAACACUUGUUUUAUAGUGUCUCCUGUUGAACUCUGUGGAGAGUUCCCCAAAUAUUCAUGUACAAAGUCAAUGCUCAAAGUAAAUGCUGUGCCUGAACAUUUUCUAAACUCUGUGACACCACUUUCUUAUUGUUACCCACUGACUGCCAGAAAGAAUGCAGCAUUUUCCAAUUGAGUAUCUCAGCCACUGAGUUGUAAUUGUCAGGAUGAAGUGCUUAUAAAUUCUUCAGAUACAACUUCCCUGGAAGCUGUCAUGCAAACUCUAAAGGGUAAAAGGUACCGGGAGAACAAAUUUGACCAUUUUUCACAUGCUUUUCAUAGAAUUAUUACAUCAUAAAGGUUGGAGAGACCACUGAGAUCAUCUAGCCUAACCGUCAGCCUGUAUCUGUGACCACCUUAGACGAUGUUGCUCAGUGCCACAUCUACCUUUUUCUUGAAAAAUUCUAGAGACGGUGACUCCACCGCCUGCCUGGGCCAUCUGUUUCUCGCCGCUCCUUCUGAGAGGAAAUAUUUUCUAAUAUUUAACCUGAACCUCCCCUGGCUCAACUUGAGGCCAUUCCCUCUCAUCCUAUCGCUGUUAACUGUGAGAAGAGACCAGUCCCCACCUUACCGUUCCUUUUAGGUCAUUGUAGAGAGCAACAAGGUCUCCCCUGAGCCCCAUCGUCUCCAGACUGAGCAAUCCCCGCUCCCUCGGCUGCCCCUCUUUCCUGUCAGCUCUGUUGCCCUUCUCUGGAUACGCUUUGGGGCCUCUGUGCCUUUCUUGUAACGAGGGGCCCAAACAUUAACACAGUACUUGAGGUGCAACCUCACCAGUGCCGAG
This is a long non-coding RNA of Lagopus muta (rock ptarmigan), 1561 nucleotides long. RefSeq lists it as uncharacterized. The transcript is spliced from 3 exons. The record is from RefSeq and is a predicted model, not a curated record. Lineage: Eukaryota; Metazoa; Chordata; Aves; Galliformes; Phasianidae.